RNAcentral lists this ribosomal RNA (410 nucleotides) under uncultured bacterium. Its description in RNAcentral is "bacterial SSU rRNA". It matches the Rfam family "Bacterial small subunit ribosomal RNA", at positions 30 to 437 of the family's 1533-position model. The record is from RNAcentral.
AUUGAACGCUGGCGGCAUGCCUAACACAUGCAAGUCGAACGGCAGCACGGGAGCUUGCUCCUGGUGGCGAGUGGCGGACGGGUGAGUAAUGCAUAGGAAUCUGCCCAGUAGCGGGGGACAACUUGGGGAAACUCAAGCUAAUACCGCAUGCGCCCUACGGGGGAAAGCGGGGGACCUUCGGGCCUCGCACUAUUGGAUGAGCCUAUGUCAGAUUAGCUUGUUGGUGGGGUAACGGGCCUACCAAGGCGACGAUCUGUAGCUGGUCUGAGAGGACGAUCAGCCACACUGGGACUGAGACACGGCCCAGACUCCUACGGGAGGCAGCAGUGGGGAAUAUUGCACAAUGGGCGAAAGCCUGAUGCAGCAAUGCCGCGUGUGUGAAGAAGGCCUGCGGGUUGUAAAGCACUUUC